Molecule: ribosomal RNA, 292 nt
Filed under: uncultured bacterium
Lineage: Bacteria
Description: partial 16S ribosomal RNA
Rfam family: Bacterial small subunit ribosomal RNA
Source: RNAcentral
GUGUCAGCAGCCGCGGUAAGACGAACCGUGCGAACGUUGUUCGGAAUCACUGGGCUUAAAGGGCGCGUAGGCGGCCGUCCGAGUCCGGGGUGAAAUCUUUCGGCCUAACCGGAAAAGGGCCCUGGAUACUGGACGGCUCGAGGGGGGUAGGGGCAAGCGGAACUUCCGGUGGAGCGGUGAAAUGCGUUGAUAUCGGAAGGAACGCCGGCGGCGAAAGCGGCUUGCUGGACCCCUCCUGACGCUGAGGCGCGAAAGCCAGGGGAGCGAACGGGAUUAGAUACCCGCGUAGUCC